RNAcentral lists this ribosomal RNA (712 nucleotides) under uncultured bacterium. RNAcentral describes it as "bacterial SSU rRNA". It matches the Rfam family "Bacterial small subunit ribosomal RNA", at positions 66 to 774 of the family's 1533-position model. The record is from RNAcentral.
ACGGUAACAGGGUGCUUGCACCGCUGACGAGUGGCGAACGGGUGAGUAAUGCGUCGGAACGUGCCGAGUAGUGGGGGAUAACGCAGCGAAAGUUGUGCUAAUACCGCAUACGUACUGAGGUAGAAAGUGGGGGACCUUCGGGCCUCACGCUAUUCGAGCGGCCGACGUCUGAUUAGCUAGUAGGUGAGGUAAAGGCUCACCUAGGCGACGAUCAGUAGCGGGUCUGAGAGGAUGAUCCGCCACACUGGGACUGAGACACGGCCCAGACCCCUACGGGAGGCAGCAGUGGGGAAUUUUGGACAAUGGGCGAAAGCCUGAUCCAGCCAUGCCGCGUGUCUGAAGAAGGCCUUCGGGUUGUAAAGGACUUUUGUCAGGGAGGAAAUCCCUAGCGUUAAUACCGCUGGGGGAUGACAGUACUUGAAGAAUAAGCACCGGCUAACUACGUGCCAGCAGCCGCGGUAAUACGUAGGGUGCGAGCGUUAAUCGGAAUUACUGGGCGUAAAGCGUGCGCAGGCGGUUUGAUAAGCCAGAUGUGAAAUCCCCGAGCUCAACUUGGGAACUGCGUUUGGAACUGUCAGACUAGAGUGCGUCAGAGGGGGGUGGAAUUCCGCGUGUAGCAGUGAAAUGCGUAGAGAUGCGGAGGAACACCGAUGGCGAAGCAGCCCCCUGGGAUGACACUGACGCUCAUGCACGAAAGCGUGGGGAGCAAACA